This 73-nucleotide transfer RNA is filed under the name Bacteroidales bacterium. RNAcentral describes it as "tRNA-Arg". It matches the Rfam family "tRNA". From Rfam's summary of the family: Transfer RNA (tRNA) molecules are approximately 80 nucleotides in length. Their secondary structure includes four short double-helical elements and three loops (D, anti-codon, and T loops). The record is from RNAcentral. RNAcentral also lists the same sequence under 2 other names. Lineage: Bacteria; Pseudomonadati; Bacteroidota; Bacteroidia; Bacteroidales.
GGUCCUGUAGCUUAAUGGAUAGAGCAUCUGACUACGGAUCAGAAGGUUGGGGGUUCGAGUCUCUCCAGGAUCA